This 253-nucleotide ribosomal RNA is filed under the name uncultured bacterium. RNAcentral's name for it is "partial 16S ribosomal RNA". It matches the Rfam family "Bacterial small subunit ribosomal RNA", at positions 524 to 776 of the family's 1533-position model. The record is from RNAcentral.
UACAGAGGUCUCAAGCGUUGUUCGGAUUCAUUGGGCGUAAAGGGUGCGUAGGCGGCGCGUUAAGUCGGGUGUGAAAUCUCGGAGCUUAACUCCGAAACUGCAUUCGAUACUGCCGUGCUUGAGGACUGGAGAGGAGACUGGAAUUUACGGUGUAGCGGUGAAAUGCGUAGAUAUCGUAAGGAAGACCAGUGGCGAAGGCGGGUCUCUGGACAGUUCCUGACGCUGAGGCGCGAAGGCCAGGGGAGCAAACGGG